This is a long non-coding RNA of Engraulis encrasicolus (European anchovy), 274 nucleotides long. RefSeq lists it as uncharacterized. The transcript is spliced from 3 exons. NCBI's taxonomy places the organism in Eukaryota, Metazoa, Chordata, Actinopteri, Clupeiformes, Engraulidae. The record is from RefSeq and is a predicted model, not a curated record.
GACUCAUAGAGUAUGUAGACUGGGUGGCUGAGCUCAGAGGAACACCCUAUAUCCCACUGCCUUCUUACCUCCCUAACCAGAAGCCGCCCCACAAGCGAGUGAGAGACAGCUGGAGGAAGAUGUGGGCCGGAACUCGCCUUUAUAUGAUUACUGAGGAGAAGCAGACCACCUCCCUGUACUGAUCAUCGCUGCCCCCAAAUAAUGGCUGUGUCUGUUACUGACCACAGCAGUGCCCUUUGACCCUUAGUUUCUACUAUCAUCAUAGUGUCCACCA